GACGAACGCUGGCGGCGUGCCUAAUACAUGCAAGUAGAACGCUGAAGAGAGGAGCUUGCUCUUCUUGGAUGAGUUGCGAACGGGUGAGUAACGCGUAGGUAACCUGCCUUGUAGCGGGGGAUAACUAUUGGAAACGAUAGCUAAUACCGCAUAACAAUGGAUGACACAUGUCAUUUAUUUGAAAGGGGCAAUUGCUCCACUACAAGAUGGACCUUCGUUGUAUUAGCUAGUAGGUGAGGUAAUGGCUCACCUAGGCGACGAUACAUAGCCGACCUGAGAGGGUGAUCGGCCACACUGGGACUGAGACACGGCACAGACUCCUAAGGGAGGCAGCAGUAGGGAAUCUUCGGCAAUGGGGGCAACCCUGACCGAGCAACGCCGCGUGAGUGAAGAAGGUUUUCGGAUCGUAAAGCUCGGUUGUAAGUCAAGAACGGGUGUGAGAGUGGAAAGUUCACACUGUGACGGUAGCUUACCAGAAAGGGACGGCUAACUACGUG
This 497-nucleotide ribosomal RNA is filed under the name uncultured bacterium. RNAcentral's name for it is "partial 16S ribosomal RNA". It matches the Rfam family "Bacterial small subunit ribosomal RNA", at positions 28 to 507 of the family's 1533-position model. The record is from RNAcentral.